RNAcentral lists this long non-coding RNA (655 nucleotides) under Junco hyemalis (dark-eyed junco). RNAcentral's name for it is "lncRNA (ENSJHYG00000007060.1)". Lineage: Eukaryota; Metazoa; Chordata; Aves; Passeriformes; Passerellidae. The record is from RNAcentral.
GUGUGACACCGUCCUGGGCUGUGUGUGACACCCUGUGCUGGGCAGAGUGUGACACAUUGUCCUGUACAGCCCAUGGAACUCCGUGUCCUGUCCAUCCUGUGUGCUCCAUGUACAUCAUGUCCUGUCCAUCCCUGUCCCCGUGUCCUGCCUGGCAGCACAGGGCUCACUCCAGAGCUGACGCUGCUCCUGCAGUCCCCCAGCACCCAGAGGCCUGUGAGGACAAGGGGUCACUGCAUUCCAGACUCUGAGGUGUCAUUGGGAAUUUAGAGGUGGCACAAGUAUUAACUUUUAACAGUCUUUAUUCUCGAUGUUGUAGUAUCCUUUCCUUUCGCACCACCAACUUUUUGGGCUCUCCAGAGGUUUUCAUGGAACAAGUCUGUAGUGUAAAACUAAAAGAUCAUGUUGCAACUUUGUAUAAAAACCAUCUUGCAAAACAAAGGCCUUUUUUUUCUUUGGCUUGGGACUUUUGAGACAAUUCCUAACAUACCUGUAAUUCUUGCUUUUAUAAUUUGUGUUAGCAGAGACUCUGAUGCGUUGGAAAUGUAGAUUUAAUGUGCACUCCUGUGCUUUCUGCCAAGUGGUCAUUCACUUUGGAGUUUUACUAUGUUCAACCUGUAAAUACAGCAGAACGUCAAUAAAUGUCACUUCUGUAGCA